AACGCUGGCGGCGCGCUUAACACAUGCAAGUCGAGCGAGAACCAGACCUUCGGGACUGGGGACAGCGGCGAACGGGUGAAUAACACGUGGGUAAUCAACCCCCGGUACUGGGAUAGCCCGGGGAAACCCGGAUUAAUAUCGGAUGGCCCUUCGGAUCUCCGGUUCUGAAGGCAAAGGUAGCUUUCGCCUCCGACCGAGGACUAGCCCGCGGCGGAUUAGCUUGUCGGUGGGGUAACGGCCUAUCAAGGCGGAGAUCCGUAGCUGGGCUGAGAGGACGAUGAGCCACACUGGGACUGAGACACGGCGCAGACUUCUACAGGAGGCAGGAGUGGGGGAUCUUGCGCUAAUGCGGGAAACCGUGACGCAGCGACGCCGCGUGAGGGAAGAAGGCCUUCGGGUUGUAAACCUCUUUCAGAAGGGACGAAGCUACUCGGGUUCAUAGCCCAGAGGGUGACGGUACCUUCAGAAGAAGCCCCGGCUAACUACGUGCCAGCAGCCGCAGUAA
RNAcentral lists this ribosomal RNA (505 nucleotides) under uncultured bacterium. Its description in RNAcentral is "partial 16S ribosomal RNA". It matches the Rfam family "Bacterial small subunit ribosomal RNA", at positions 32 to 523 of the family's 1533-position model. The record is from RNAcentral.